Molecule: RNA transcript, 2753 nt
Organism: Lotus japonicus
Lineage: Eukaryota; Viridiplantae; Streptophyta; Magnoliopsida; Fabales; Fabaceae
Exons: 3
Source: RefSeq, a predicted model, not a curated record
ACUAGUGAAUCCCAUUGGAUUAUGCAAUGGAGUUGCAGAGCCUUUUCUUUGUGAGGCUUUGACUGAAGAAUUUGCUAGCUCGCGUGGGUCACGCAUAGAAAGUGCUUGUUUUGUAUUGAUUAGUGGGAUUUGUGGAGAGAGAGUGUUAUUCUUAUCUUCAUCUUGUUGCUCUCGUGAGGAGAAGACUGAAUUGUUAUUGGCUGGCCAAAUUUGAAGAGAGAGAGGACGUUAUCUGUAGUACUAUCCUUUGAAAGGACUUUGGUUUGUAACUCAGUGUUGCCUUUCGACCCUACUUCUCCCUCCGGUAAACUCAUAUUAGUUUCCUUUUCUAAAAAUCCUUUUUCUGCUUCACUAACUUGUCUUGCCUAAGUUGACUGCCUUCCUUGUUGAGCCAGAGUCUCUCGUGUCUGAGUGUGAGAUCUAUGUGUCUGAACUAGAGGCAGUCCCAGUGAGCGAUGUCUUAGCCAGCCCCUCUAGCGGAAUGUCUUCUCCUUUUCUCAUAUCAGAUCAACCGAAGGUAACCCAACCUAUUUGAUACACAGCUACUUGUCCCCAACGCAAUGGUCGCGACAAAGAAACACGAUCUGUGAAUGUGGCCCAUCACUUAACUGAGCAUUCCAGGCUAACUAUGGAGGAAGGAGCUCGAGGGUCUGUAGGUGAAUUAGAAGGUAACGUUCGAAUUCUACCCUCCUUUGAGGCCAUAAGACAUUUUCUGUGGAGAAUAGCCUGUCGGAGAAACAAUCAUAUGCGAACAGUGUUGUAGAGAAUUUUUUCGAUGGUCAACCUUGAGGCUGCAGGUAGGAUAAGUUUUGUAGGAUGGCAGUGUUAUGCCCUGAAUCUCAUGGAGCCUUGAGAGAAGUGUAGAAUGCCCUGACCCAACAAGAUGAGUUUCUAACAAACUCCCUCUACAAUAUGAAAAGUCUUGUAGUGAUGUAGCUGUUGAAUCGAUUAUGAUGUGUCUGAAUUGUGUCAUUGCUAAUGACGCACACAAAAUGCAAAUUGGAACAAGGACUGUUCGGGAAAGAACGCCAUCUUCCUGUGCAGAUGCUUGAGUCUCAAGAAGAGACCCAUCAAUAGUUGUAGAACAAGUGGGAAUCAAUGAGGGUGAACACAUAUGUUCCAGCCAUAACGACACCAAGUUGAGUUCUGAUAAGGUGACACCACUGUUGUACUGGUCAUUGGAUAUUUGGUAGUUAAGAUGCAGACCCGGCAACGUGAAGAAUAUAGGUGUGAUUGCCCAUGGUGGUUUCCAAUCAGAUCGAUCCUAGGCAAAUAACAAGUCACACUUAGCUAGCACUGGAUAUUUGAAAUAAUAAAGGUUGUGUGCAGACUUAGAAACAAUGUCAGAUGAUGUGAAAAUGAGAACAUGGAAUAUGCUGGGGAAAAUGAGCAGGAGGAGGUUGUGGGUAAUACGAUUGAUGAAGUGGGUAGUAGUUGUACUGUGGAGAUGGAGUGCCCAUGGGUGGAUCAUGGUGGAGGUAUGAGAACAUGGCAAUGAAAGCACCAAUUGAUAGGAAGCUAGUUCCUAUCAAGUAAGAACAUAAGAACCCUAAAAUAUAAACUAAGAAAAAUAUAGAAAAUAAAGCCUUGAUCAAUUUUCUUGUUACCAUAAAGGGAAAUACAUACUUAUAUUAGGAGAGUAAUUUCUAAAGUAACGAUAACCUUACAAGUGGCUAAAUGCUCUUAAUUGGAACAUUCUAGAAUAUUAACUAAUACAUCAAACAAAAUACUAAUUCCACUAAACUUCAUCAGUAUACGUUUGGGCUUGUGGUGGUAGAAGAGGAUGGCCCAAUAGUGCUAUCAAUUUUCCUUGUGUGUGGUUUGGAAACAGAAACUAAUUUUCAUGCCUUGUUCUCGUGUGCUGAAGCUAGAGGAAUUUGGUUUGCAUACCAACUUUCAAUUCGUGUUCCCAUGUCUCCUCCUGAUUCUUUUCGUUCUUGGAUGGAAUGAAAGACCUGUUGUGUUGUGAUGACCCUUGAGUAAUUAGCAACGUUGCUGCCACUGUUUGGGCAAUAUGGAUGAGAAGAAAUAGAAAGCAUUUUUAGGGAUAUUUGCUCUCUGUCUAGCAUACUCUAAAUCUAGCUUUAUCAAUGAAGGAUGCUGAUCACACUGUAUCUCUUACUAGUUCUGCAGCAGAUAUGAGGACGAAUAUGUGAUUUUAAUGUUGUUGCAAGAUCAGAGGAAAGAAUGGGAAUCUCAGAUUCUAUAUAUGGCAGAAGUGAUAUGGCUGAUUUUAAGGCAUUUCUCUCCAAUUUAUCACUAAUUGAACCUCCUGCUGUGGGUAAAAAAUACACUUGGUUCCGCCCCAACGGACAGGCAGCAAGCAGAUUAGAUAGAUUCCUGCUAUCUAGUGACUGGUGCUCUUGUUGGCCUCAUGGUGUUCAAACUGUUAUGGCUAGAAGUUUGUCAGAUCACUGCCCUGUUAUGUUUCGAAGCACUGAUAUGAAUUGGGGGCCGAGACCCUUCCGUGUGCUGAACUGCUGGUUCUCUGAUCCAGGUUUCAAGGCUUUUGUUGAAAAGGAGUGGCAAGGAUUCCAAGUUCAAGGUUCAGGAGGAUUCCAAGUUCAAGGUUCAGGGGGGUGACACCUUGAUAUGUAUUGUGUAUGCUUGUCUUUUUUUACUUGUUUUGUGAUUUUUGCUUUUUUCUCUCCUCACAUAGUGUUUGAUACCUGCAGCCAAAAAUCUUCUGAUAUCAUUUUUCUCAUAAAAAAGGAUAAUAUUUCCCGGCUGUCCAACACUCUUUUCUGCAAGGU